Molecule: microRNA, 22 nt
Filed under: Glycine max (soybean)
Lineage: Eukaryota; Viridiplantae; Streptophyta; Magnoliopsida; Fabales; Fabaceae
Description: gma-miR10427b
Source: miRBase by way of RNAcentral
CAAGAGAAUUGGGCUAGAGCUG